This 950-nucleotide long non-coding RNA is filed under the name Homo sapiens (human). RNAcentral describes it as "non-protein coding lnc-GNLY-1:1". Lineage: Eukaryota; Metazoa; Chordata; Mammalia; Primates; Hominidae. The record is from RNAcentral.
GCCCUUUCUGAAGCUGAGAGGGAGCCGGAAAGGAAGGGACUCAGGGGAUCUCAUGGGAGCCAGAAGGGCCCAGACUUAGGAUCCGAAAUUGUGCCUAUGAGAGUGAGUCAGUGUCUUGGUCUGUCACCCGGGCUGGAGUGCAGUGGUGCAAUCAUAGCUCGCUGCAGCCUCGACCUCCUAGGUUUAAGUGAUCCUCCUGCCUCAGCCUCCUGAGCAGCUGGGACUACAGGUAUGCACCACGCUGUCUGGUUAAUUUUAAAAUUUUUUGUGGAGAUGAAAUCUUGCUAUGCUGCCCAGGCUGGUCUUGAACUCCCGACCUCAAGCAAUUCUCCUGCCUCGGCCUCCCAAGUUGCUUGGAUUACAGGUGUGAGCCAUUGUGUCUGGCCAGUGACUCACUUCUGAAGACAGAAUACAGGGGAAGUGAUGGUAUGUGACUUCAGAGAUCAGAUCAUAAAUGGCAUUGUAGCUUCUGCCUUGUUUUCUCUCUUGUGUCAUUCACUCUGGGGAAAGUCAGCUGACACUCGUGAGGAUGCUCAAGUGGCCUUGUGGAGAGGCCCACGUGGUGAUGGGCUGAGGCCUCUCUCCAGCAGCCUCAAGUGGGCACCAUCUUGGAAGCAGACCCUUUCAACCCAGGCAAGCCUUUGGAGGACUGUAGUCCUGGCUGACGUCUUGACUGCAAUCUCAUGGGAAUCCCUGAGCCAGAACCAUUCAACUAAGUCACUCUUAAUUAUAAUUCUUGACCUGCAGAAACAGAGAAAAAAAAUAAAAGUUUAUUGUUUUAGGCAGCUAAGUUUUGGGGCAGUUUGUUACACAGCAAUUGAUAAUGAAUACACAUACCACCCUAAAAUAUAAUCUUUCAGAGUCAAUGACAUCCACAAACUCGAGUAUAGUGGGAGAAUAUGAAUGAAAAGAAUAGAAGGUGUAGCAACAUAUUCCUUCUAAGGAAGAGU